This 2553-nucleotide long non-coding RNA is filed under the name Phoenix dactylifera (date palm). Its description in RNAcentral is "long non-coding RNA (PDAC_LNC012124)". The record is from RNAcentral. Lineage: Eukaryota; Viridiplantae; Streptophyta; Magnoliopsida; Arecales; Arecaceae.
UUUAAGGUGAAUGGACAUAGGUUAAAACAUUUUCUUGAGAAUUUUGCAGAUGAAGAGGACUCAUUUUUCUUGGAGGAGCCUUCUUACGACUGAGCAUGACGGCAAACGUAUUUGUAUAUUAGUUAGAAUUAAUUUUUCUUUUAUUUCUAGUUUUCUUCUUAUUUUGUAGGUUUUCUUUUCUGGAUAUCAACAGCUCAAGGUAUUGCUCUUCUCUUCAAUAUUAUUUUCUCUAUUGUAUCUACUACAUUAAGGACAAUGCAAUGUUUAAGUUGGGGGGAGGGAAAUAUUUUGGUUAAAAAAAAACUUGUUUUUGCAUUUGAUUUAUUCUAUUACUUUCUUUUCUAAGCAAAUGCACAUGUAUUUUCAUAUUAAGUUUGUGCAACUAUUGAGGCAAGGAACACAUGCGUACUAUGACUGAUCAGAGACUUAUUAUUAGAUCCCCGCACAUGUGCUUAAUGAUUAUAGGAAGGCCUCAGGAGUUCACAUUUGUUUAAUGCAUUUUUAUUAAGCUGUAUCUGUAAAAGAAGUACGAGUAUCCUUGUCCGUACUAUAAGGUUCAUAAUUUGGUUUUCACAUAAAGAUAGAGGUUGAAUACCCUGGCUAGAUCACCUAAAUAUCUUACGAUUCGACCUUGGUUGACCUAUAGUCACGAUGCAGUCACGUAUAUAAUAAAAAUAUCUAUAUGGUUCAGUCUGCCUUCUCUUUUCUUGCAAAAUUAUUAUUAAAAAACAAAUUCUUAUGAUGACAAGUCUGACCUCGUGACAUAGUCUGGUUCGAGUAAUUAAGUCCGAGGCGUGUUUCACCUAAUGUCUUGAGCCAACUGGAUCGGGGGUCAUUGGCCGAAAGCUCGCUACAUGGACCUUACUAAAGCCUAAUGGGGUUGGACAACUGUAGUUGUCAUAUGUAAAAAAAAAAAGCAUGAAUGAGUUGGUCAGGCUGAACCCAGUGACAUGUGGUAAUGGCUAGUUUGACUCCAUUGUAUUGGACCUCUGUGUACCCGGAUUGUUUAGUUGGGAUUGAUAGCUCUUUCUUUACAUACGAACCAUUCUUGACGAACGUAGACAACAUGUGAUAUUCUGAAAAUUUGAUGGAUCAGGUUCUAACAAAUUGUAGUAGACACUUGUGAACUUGAGUAGUGCACCUAAAAUUCAAGUGGUACCAUGUUGUGGUGGAGGUAUUAGUACUCUGAGAAAGUCAUACGAUUUUAUGCACACUACACUUUCAUAGUUUCCUUGCUUUGAAAGUUGCCAUGCUUGAAAAUAUAUAUUAAUUAAUUACAUGUGUAUUAGCUUAGGCUUUAUUUCAUAUUUUUAGGAUCUCAUGUCACAUCAUUCAUGAUGUUUGUGGGUAACAUCCCUGAAAACCCUCACGAGACAACACUCGUCCACUAGGAUAACCUAGGGGUUUAACGGCUUUUUGCACGUGCUAAGUGCAAUCGUAAUGCCCUACGAAAGUGGGUACAUCCUCUUAGUUUUAUGUCUUUAGCUUUAAUAAAAAGUCAAAGGAUUAACCAACACUUUUUGUACUCUCAUGUUAUUGUUUACUAUGAAUUGUUAGAGACUAGCAAUAAGCUAGCUGGGGGGUGUGAUGAGAGUACAAAAGUACGAUCUACAUACCACUUAAAUUAGUAUUAUUGCUAACAAGAUAAUGAUAAUCCCAUUGGAUUAAUAUUAUAUUUUUGUUGAGUGUAGGUGAUCGUAAAUCGAGGCCAAAAUGCGCAUUCAGUAUAGUUUGGGCUUAGAUGCAUAACUCAGACUGCGUAUGCCCAACCUCGUCAUAGUCCGAUCGAAUUCACCAUUUAUCGAAGGACCAGCGAGGAGAUCCCGAUCAGUGUGCAUCCUCCCAGCAUCCCGUGAAUUUCCAUCUUCGCCAUCCAGGAUGAUCCCGUGAUGCAAGCGAUCGUGAUCUUCGGAGCGCAUCCACAAUCUCCCAAAAUUCACUCCUUCAACCAUUCGCAUGAGAUCAGCCAUCUAGGUCCCCGCGUCCAAGGCCCAGCUUCUGAGUUCAUCCGUUCGCGUCCCAGAGCAUCACAGCAUCCGUGAUCCCAAAGCAUUCGCGUCUCAGACCCCAGCAAAGGCGAUCGCAAUCUUCACGAGUCCCAGCCGUUCGCGAGCGUCUCUGCAUCCAAUGCGUCCGCGAAGCAUCCUCCCAGCGAAGAGAUCGCGAUCUGUCCGGCUCUUCCGGAUUAGCAAGCAAUCAGCCUUCCGCCCGUUUCACGCAUCCUCCCAGCCGUGAGCGAAGCAAUCCUUCCGCGAUCAGCUCCUGCAUCCCCUGGAUCCGUCCGCGUGCAGCCUCCCAGCAUCAUCCCAUGCACAAUCUCAGGCGUCCAAACUCUUCAUCGUCCGUGUCCCAGCUUCCACCCAGCGUCCGAGCGUCCCGCGUCCGGAUACUCCGCGUCAACUUUCUUCUUCAAUCGAUUCCAGCAUCCCGUGAAUGGUCCCAGCCAGCCGUGAAGCGUCGCAACGUCCGCAAGCCCGUGAUCCCAUGCCUGCCGUCCGCCUCCUCCAUCACGGCGCAUCCGAGCGUCAUAGCAGGCCCCGAGUUCGCGAUCUC